UGUAAGCGUAUACCAAAGUUGUUGCAGUUAAAACGCUCGUAGUCGGAAUUUGGCAGUUCCGGAUGUGUGCACGUCGUGUGCGCACUUCGCGGGGAUUGCUUUUGUGGUCUUGCGUAGGAUGAGGCACUUUUAUUAGUGAACGUCCUCACGCAACCACUUUUUACUGUGAGAAAAUCAGAGUGCUCAAAGCAGGCAUUUGCCGUGAAUGUAUUAGCAUGGAAUAAUAGAAUAGGACUCGGUUCUAUUUUGUUGGUUUGUUGGGGCUGAGUAAUGAUUAAGAGGGACAGUUGGGGGCAUUUGUAUUUCGGCGCUAGAGGUGAAAUUCUUAGAUUGCCGAAAGACAAACUGCUGCGAAAGCGUCUGCCAAGGAUGUUUUCAUUGA
Molecule: ribosomal RNA, 382 nt
Filed under: uncultured eukaryote
Lineage: Eukaryota
Description: partial 18S ribosomal RNA
Rfam family: Eukaryotic small subunit ribosomal RNA
Source: RNAcentral